UGCGGAGGGAUCAUUACUGAGUGAGGGCCUUCGGGCUCGACCUCCAACCCUUUGUGAACACAACUUGUUGCUUCGGGGGCGACCCUGCCGUUUCGACGGCGAGCGCCCCCGGAGGCCUUCAAACACUGCAUCUUUGCGUCGGAGUUUAAGUAAAUUAAACAAAACUUUCAACAACGGAUCUCUUGGUUCUGGCAUCGAUGAAGAACGCAGCGAAAUGCGAUAAGUAAUGUGAAUUGCAGAAUUCAGUGAAUCAUCGAAUCUUUGAACGCACAUUGCGCCCCUUGGUAUUCCGAGGGGCAUGCCUGUUCGAGCGUCAUUUCACCACUCAAGCCUGGCUUGGUAUUGGGCGCCGCGGUCAAUCCGCGCGCCUCAAAGUCUCCGGCUGAGCUGUCCGUCUCUAAGCGUUGUGAUUUCAUUAAUCGCUUCGGAGUGCGGGCGGCCGCGGCCGUUAAAUCUUUCAAAGGUUGACCUCGGAUCAGGUAGGGAUACCCGCUGAACUUAAGCAUAUCAAUAAAGCCGGA
This 521-nucleotide ribosomal RNA is filed under the name fungal sp. NLR-2013. RNAcentral's name for it is "eukaryotic LSU rRNA". The stretch from base 163 to 316 matches the Rfam family "5.8S ribosomal RNA". The record is from RNAcentral. Lineage: Eukaryota; Fungi.